Molecule: ribosomal RNA, 374 nt
Filed under: uncultured eukaryote
Lineage: Eukaryota
Description: partial 18S ribosomal RNA
Rfam family: Eukaryotic small subunit ribosomal RNA
Source: RNAcentral
UAAUAGUGUAUAUUAAAGUUGUUGCAGUUAAAAAGCUCGUAGUUGAAUGUUGGUGUCGAACGAGCGGUCAGCUUCGGCUGUACUGCUCUCUCGACUCCUUCCUUCUGUGGACUACGUCGCACUUUACUGUGUGGCGCUAGGACGCAGAUCGUUUACUGUGAAAAAAUUAGAGUGUUCAAAGCAGGCCUUCGCUUGAAUACAUUAGCAUGGAAUAAUAGAAUAGGACUUUGGUUCUGUUUUGUUGGUUUAUAGGACCGGGGUAAUGAUUAAUAGGGAUAGUUGGGGGCAUUAGUAUUUAAUUGUCAGAGGUGAAAUUCUUGGAUUUAUGAAAGACUAACAUCUGCGAAAGCAUUUGCCAAGGAUGUUUUCAUUAA